This 388-nucleotide unclassified non-coding RNA is filed under the name uncultured Atribacteria bacterium. RNAcentral describes it as "contains 16S-23S intergenic spacer region". The record is from RNAcentral. Lineage: Bacteria; Pseudomonadati; Atribacterota; Atribacteria.
UCCGGUUUGUCACCGGCAGUCCCCUUAGAGUGCUCAAGCAUAACCUGGUCGCAACUAAGGGUAAGGGUUGCGCUCGUUGCGGGACUUAACCCAACAUCUCACGACACGAGCUGACGACAACCAUGCAGCACCUGUGCUGGCUCCCUCGGAAAACCGAAGGUCGUCACCCUUUCAGGCUUCUACCACCAGCAUGUCAAACCCUGGUAAGGUUCUUCGCGUUGCAUCGAAUUAAACCACAUGCUCCACCGCUUGUGCGGGCCCCCGUCAAUUCCUUUGAGUUUCAACCUUGCGGCCGUACUCCCCAGGCGGGAUACUUAAUGCGUUAGCUGCGGCACGGAAGGGGUCGAACCUCCCACACCUAGUAUCCAUCGUUUACGGCCAGGACUAC